This 432-nucleotide ribosomal RNA is filed under the name uncultured bacterium. Its description in RNAcentral is "partial 16S ribosomal RNA". It matches the Rfam family "Bacterial small subunit ribosomal RNA", at positions 29 to 506 of the family's 1533-position model. The record is from RNAcentral.
AACGAACGCUGGCGGCAUGCCUAACACAUGCAAGUCGAACGAGACCUUCGGGUCUAGUGGCGCACGGGUGCGUAACGCGUGGGAACCUGCCCUUAGGUUCGGAAUAACUCCCCGAAAGGGGUGCUAAUACCGGAUAAUGUCUUCGGACCAAAGAUUUAUCGCCUUUGGAUGGGCCCGCGUUGGAUUAGCUAGUUGGUAGGGUAAAAGCCUACCAAGGCGACGAUCCAUAGCUGGUCUGAGAGGAUGAUCAGCCACACUGGGACUGAGACACGGCCCAGACUCCUACGAGAGGCAGCAGUGGGGAAUAUUGGACAGUGGGCGAAAGCCUGAGCCAGCAAUGCCGCGUGAGUGAUGAAGGCCUUAGAGUUGUAAAGCUCUUUUACCCGGGAUGAUAAUGACAGUACCGGGAGAAUAAGCUCGGGCUAACUCCGU